RNAcentral lists this ribosomal RNA (393 nucleotides) under uncultured bacterium. RNAcentral's name for it is "partial 16S ribosomal RNA". It matches the Rfam family "Bacterial small subunit ribosomal RNA", at positions 523 to 918 of the family's 1533-position model. The record is from RNAcentral.
AUACGGAGGAUCCGAGCGUUAUCCGGAUUUAUUGGGUUUAAAGGGAGCGUAGGUGGAUUGUUAAGUCAGUUGUGAAAGUUUGCGGCUCAACCGUAAAAUUGCAGUUGAAACUGGCAGUCUUGAGUACAGUAGAGGUGGGCGGAAUUCGUGGUGUAGCGGUGAAAUGCUUAGAUAUCACGAAGAACUCCGAUUGCGAAGGCAGCUCACUAGAAGGCAAAUGACACUGAUGCUCGAAAGUGUGGGUAUCAAACAGGAUUAGAUACCCUGGUAGUCCACACAGGAAACGAUGAAUACUCGCUGUUUGCGAUAUACAGUAAGCGGCCAAGCGAAAGCAUUAAGUAUUCCACCUGGGGAGUACGCCGGCAACGGUGAAACUCAAAGGAAUUGACGGGG